AUGGUUCCAUGCCCAAAACAGUUCCAGAGUAUUAGGCUGUGCGGUUGGUCUACUUCUGGGAUUCGAAGUAACAAUAAAAUACAGAACAUAGAGAGUUUGUAUGGCACUUAGUCUAUGUCUCUCCUUUGAGAGUUUGUUCUUACCGAAAGCUGUUCGAAUAGCCGAACAUCCAUGGAAGGUAAGUAGUGAGCGGUGUUCAUGCCGUCGAG
Non-coding RNA from Pelobates cultripes (western spadefoot toad), 209 nucleotides. The record is from the annotation of a GenBank genome assembly. Lineage: Eukaryota; Metazoa; Chordata; Amphibia; Anura; Pelobatidae.